Molecule: non-coding RNA, 161 nt
Filed under: Microbacterium ginsengisoli
Lineage: Bacteria; Bacillati; Actinomycetota; Actinomycetes; Micrococcales; Microbacteriaceae
Description: FMN sequence
Rfam family: FMN riboswitch aptamer (RFN element)
About the family: The RFN element is a highly conserved domain that is found frequently in the 5'-untranslated regions of prokaryotic mRNAs that encode for flavin mononucleotide (FMN) biosynthesis and transport proteins. This element is a metabolite-dependent riboswitch that directly binds FMN in the absence of proteins.
Source: Rfam by way of RNAcentral
AACGUGCUCCGGGGUCGGUGAGAAUCCGAACCGGCGGUGACAGUCCGCGAGCCGCGACAUCCGUGCCACAUCGGCACCGUCGCGGUCGACCCGGUGGGAUUCCGGGACCGACGGUGAUGAGGCGCUCAGGCGUCUCUAGUCCGGAUGGGAGGAGGCACGCG